RNAcentral lists this ribosomal RNA (253 nucleotides) under uncultured bacterium. RNAcentral describes it as "partial 16S ribosomal RNA". It matches the Rfam family "Bacterial small subunit ribosomal RNA", at positions 524 to 776 of the family's 1533-position model. The record is from RNAcentral.
UACGGGGGGGGCAAGCGUUGUUCGGAAUUACUGGGCGUAAAGGGCUCGUAGGCGGCCAACUAAGUCAGACGUGAAAUCCCUCGGCUUAACCGGGGAACUGCGUCUGAUACUGGAUGGCUUGAGUUUGGGAGAGGGAUGCGGAAUUCCAGGUGUAGCGGUGAAAUGCGUAGAUAUCUGGAGGAACACCGAUGGCGAAGGCAGGUCUCUGGGCCGAUACUGACGCUGAGGAGCGAAAGCGUGGGGAGCGAACAGG